This 338-nucleotide ribosomal RNA is filed under the name uncultured Sphingobacteriales bacterium. RNAcentral describes it as "bacterial SSU rRNA". It matches the Rfam family "Bacterial small subunit ribosomal RNA", at positions 1041 to 1382 of the family's 1533-position model. Lineage: Bacteria; Pseudomonadati; Bacteroidota; Sphingobacteriia; Sphingobacteriales. The record is from RNAcentral.
CUGCAUGGUUGUCGUCAGCUCGUGCCGUGAGGUGUCGGGUUAAGUCCCAUACGAGCGCAACCCUACCUUUAGUGCCAUCAGGUAAUGCUGGGGACUCUAAAGGAACUGCCUACGCAAGUAGUGAGGAAGCGGGGAUGACGUCAAAUCAGCACGGCCCUUACGUCCAGGGCUACACACGUGCUACAAUGGCCGAUACAGAGGGCAGCUACCUGGUGACAGGAUGCAAAUCUCCAAAGUCGGUCUCAGUUCGGAUCGGAGUCUGCAACCCGACUCCGUGAAGUUGGAUUCGCUAGUAAUCGCGCAUCAGCCAUGGCGCGGUGAAUACGUUCCCGGGCCUU